This 87-nucleotide small nucleolar RNA is filed under the name Tursiops truncatus (common bottlenose dolphin). RNAcentral's name for it is "Small nucleolar RNA SNORA42/SNORA80 family (ENSTTRG00000021774.1)". The record is from RNAcentral. Lineage: Eukaryota; Metazoa; Chordata; Mammalia; Artiodactyla; Delphinidae.
GCCCUAAGCCACAGCAGACUGUGACCCCAAAUUAUUGCCUGGCCUCUGUGCCCCUAGGCUGUGGGUGCUGAAGUGGGUUGCACAGUA